AUACAGAGGGUGCGAACGUUGCUCGGAAUUACUGGGCGUAAAGCGCAUGUAGGCGGGUCGGCAAGUCAGAUGUGAAAUCCCCGGGCUCAACCCGGGAACUGCAUCUGAAACUGCUGGUCUUGAGUACUGGAGAGGGUGGCGGAAUUCCUGGUGUAGAGGUGAAAUUCGUAGAUAUCAGGAGGAACACCGGUGGCGAAGGCGGCCACCUGGACAGUAACUGACGCUGAGAUGCGAAAGCGUGGGGAGC
Molecule: ribosomal RNA, 247 nt
Filed under: uncultured bacterium
Lineage: Bacteria
Description: partial 16S ribosomal RNA
Rfam family: Bacterial small subunit ribosomal RNA
Source: RNAcentral